Molecule: long non-coding RNA, 1105 nt
Organism: Ictalurus punctatus (channel catfish)
Lineage: Eukaryota; Metazoa; Chordata; Actinopteri; Siluriformes; Ictaluridae
Source: Ensembl
GAGCUUUUAUUAAAGAGAGGCAGGCAGACAAAUCCGAAUCAUGAGACAGUAGCAUGGUCAAAAAACAGGCAAUGGGUCAGGCGAUUGGCAAACAGGCACAAACUAGGCAAAACUGCAAUCGAGAAUGAGGGUGAGAACAAGAUCAAAAUAAUAACACGAACUGAGAAACAAAUGCUUGGUAUACGGAAACUCACGUAAUACUUCGCGAAGUACAAAGAAACAUGAAGGGUUUAAAUGACAAAUGUAAUCAAGGGUGAUCACAAAACAGCUGAGACUAAUGAUGACACCUACGGGAAACAACCAAUGACAAUACAGGAGUGGAGACAGGACAUAAACCAUAACAAAUGCAUGUGUCGAAAGUAAACAAAGUCGAGGUCUCCGAAAAUCAAGCUCGUGCUUCGGGUUACCGAAAACGCUGCAUGCUAGCUAGCGCUAGCUCGAGAGGAAAUCGUGACAGAACCACCAGAACACACUCCCCUCCCCUGGCCAUCCUGGCCUUCUGGGCAAAAUAUCUUCAGCUGAACAGGAAGGCAGAGCGACGUCCUCAGCGGGACAGGAAGGCAGAGCAACGUCCUCAUCGGAGCAGGAAGGCAGAGCGACGUCCUCAUCAGAGCAGGAAGGCAGAGCGAAGUCCUCAGUGGAGCAGGGAGACUGAGCAGCGUCCUCAGCUGUAUAAAGAUGCUGAGUGGCGUCCUCAAUCAUGCAGAGAGGCUGAGCGUCCUUCUCUAUCGACUCUGCAGGCUGAACUUGGUUGGCCGUGCCACCAGACUCAGGUGUACCCAUUGCUUGGUUGGCUGUGUUGUCAGUCUCAAGCAUAAGCAGAACUUGGCUGGCGGUGCCAGCGGACUCGGGCGUGAGCAGAACUUGGUUGACCGUGUUAGCAACUCGGGAGUAAGUAGAACUUGGUUGACUGUGUUAGCAACUCUGGCAUAAGCAGAACUUGGUUGACCGUGUCAGCAACUCGAGAGUGAGCAGAACUCGGUUUUCCAUGUCAGCAACUCGAGAGUGAGCAGAACUCGGUUUUCCAUGUCAGCAACUCGGGAGUGAGCAGAACUUGGUUUUUCGUGUCAGCAGACUCUAGGUUUCUGUUGUUUUUUUUGCUGCC